Long non-coding RNA from Entelurus aequoreus (snake pipefish), 376 nucleotides. RefSeq lists it as uncharacterized. The record is from RefSeq and is a predicted model, not a curated record. The transcript has 3 exons. Lineage: Eukaryota; Metazoa; Chordata; Actinopteri; Syngnathiformes; Syngnathidae.
UUUUGCACCUGUACUUGGGAAAGUGUUUGUCACGGUCAUUCUUUCAGUUCUUGUGCAGAGAAAAGCAGCUUUACAUUCAGCUAAAAUCAUCACAUUUGCUGCAUUACUUUUCAGUGUGUGUUCAUCCUCUAGAAAAUUGGAAAUAGAAUGAACGGAACUUACACGCACCAUACCCAUUCAGAUGACUUCAGAACGUGACUCUUGCUGGGGGUAGGAAUACUCGUCCUCCUACACGUGUGACCCCGCUGCUGACCCUUCAGCGUUUCUCCUUGCUCGCCAGUUGGCAAUUAAGAUGACAAGAGACGAGACCGGGGUCGACAUUAAAGCACGGGGAAGGUCUUUCGUGAAUCGACAAACAAACAGGGGCCCCCCGCUU